UUGUUGUUUGAUUGAGUCAUCUAGCGGAGUUUAGAUGACGACCACUGGCUAUUCUAGACAGUCUUGUGGAAACAUUAGCAGGUUCGCCACCUGUAGGUGUUAAUGAACUUGGGUGUUCAUUCGCUGUACUCCAUCCCCCUCAUGGUUGCCUUAUUUGACUUAUAUUGCUGAGGUACCCCCGAAGCAUGUGUUGUCGCCCCGAUGAAAUAUUCUUAGACUAGGUCCCUUAUGUUAGUUGUUUUAGGGACAUUAAAGUGAGAAUAACGGGAAUGGGUAAUUGGGUUAUUGUUGGUUGGUGAAAAUUAAAUAUGAUAUUUAUUGUGGGUUGAAAACCCUAUAUGCUCACCAGGCUCCCAAGCCUGACCCACUCAGUUUUAAAUUGUAUUACAGGUAGUGGCGGAAGGGCAUGAGAUGGAUGAACCAUCAAGUUGUUUUGUUUACAAGUCUGCAUAUGUUUAUAUUUGUUAUAUGACUUGUAAUGUAUUCGUUUAUGCUUAUUGGUCUGUAUCGGAACAUGACACCCCGAGUUUUGAUUAUAAUGAAAAUACAUUUCUUUUAUGAAAUGCUUCGGUAAACAAUGUUUUAUCAUGUUUUGUUUUUGGGAACAAAUUCCGCAACUCUUUCAAAUCAAAAGGAUUUACUCUGAAAAUAUUUAAAAGCAUAAAUGAAAAUCGGUCUUUUCUGGCCGAGAUUUUGGGGAUGUCACAGUUGGUAUCAGAGCAUUAGUUUAAGCGAACUAGGAAUUUGUAGGAUUUCUAGACUUAAACUUAGAAUGCUAAGUGAAGUUUUGAGAUGUGUGUCUGUUGUGAUUUAGACACGAGCACUAGUUUAUUUUAGGAAAGUUGCCUAAAAUGCUUUAUGUGCUAAAUGUUAUAUGUUGCCAUAUAUGAUAUUAUUUGUUCGGAUCUAUGGUCUGUUGCCGACCGGAUCUAGAAACCUUAUGUGUGUAGGAUUCUAAGCGUACGUCUACGAUAUUAGAACUAGCAUGUAAACGUUUCGGAGUGAUAAGGAUGAUUUGAAUAUCUAUCAUGAUUGAGGAUCUAAUUUCACCUUAUUCGGUGUAGAUCAAAAUGGUGAGAACAAGAAGUGGAGUUGGAAAUGCUGACGAAAACAGGAAUCAACCACCAGUGAUUGAGCCAAUACCUGUCGUAGCAGCAGCACCUGAGCCAAUAACCAUGGCUGGUGUGCAAUUGAUGAUUCAGACGAUGUUGGAUCGUCAGAUGGAUGAAACUAGACGGUUGCUUCAACAAAAUCGUGAAGAACUGUCGAUUCGUGUGGAAGAGCCUGAACUGAAUGAAGGGCACUCGGAAGGUGGAAACUUCAGUGGGUCUGUUGGUCCAGCCAACCCACCGAUAGUUAGGCAAGAUAACCAUGAUGGAAGGAAUGAUGGAAUGGGAUGCAAGUACAAGGACUUUUUGACUUGUAAACCAUCGACCUUCAAUGGAAAGGAGGAUCCGAUUGGGGUUAUGGAUUGGAUCUCCGAAAUGGAGUUAGCCUUUAUGACAUGUGGCUGUAGAGGCAAGUUGCAGACUAUCUAUGCCGUGCGACAAUUCCGAGGUGGAGCCGUUCGUUGGUGGAACACUCUAGGGAAGACCUUAAGCCCUAAUGAGCCACUGCAAUUGUCAUGGGCAGAGUUCUUGGUGCAGUUCAAGCGCAAGUUCUGCUCGGCUCAAAAUCUGUUGGAGUUGGAGAACAAGUUUUUGACAUUGACGAAGGGUAGCAUGUCAGUGGAUGAGUACACCAAUAACUUCACCGAUAAGAUGGAGUUUGCCUUGCGUAUCGUUCCAGACGAGCUGACAAAGGUGGAUCGGUAUGCGAAGGGACUUCCAUGGGAGUACGAGGUGCCGGUACGUCAGGCACUUACUCUAGAGGCAGCUAUCUGGGCUGCCAAGUCUGUGGAGAACAUGAUCAAGGGGAGAACCACCGUCAAGGUUGAGGUUGGUGAGAAAAGGAAGUUUGAAGGAACAUCUGGUUCCAGUAAGAAGAGCAAAUUUUCGAAAUCUGAUUCGAAAAAGUUUGGAGGAAAAGGAGGCGAAGCAAAGUGGUGUGAUAAGUGUAAGAAAAAGCACUUUGGGAAAUGUAGCGAGGAUGUGACCUGCUACAAGUGUGGAAAGGUUGGACAUUUUGCCAAUGAAUGUCCGAACAACAAAAGGAUGUGUUUUGGGUGUAAUGAAGAGGGGCAUAUUUUGAAAGACUGUCCGAAGAAGAAGGAGGCAGCUAGGCCCAACAUUCCACCAAAGCCGAAGGCGAGAGCCUUCCAGAUGACACUUGAGGCUGCGAAAGAUGAAGCUGAUGUCGCUUCAGGUACCUUUCUCGUAAACGAAUUACCUGCUCAUAUAUUGUUUGAUUCUGGAGCCAACUACUCCUUUAUUUCGCAUGAGUUUGGUAGAAAGCUAGCUUUGCCUGUUGAUAGACUAGAUAAUGCUUUAUUAGUCGAAGUAGCUAGUGGCAAGUUUGUACCUGUUAGCCAUCGUAUGAAAAACGUCUUGAUCGACCUUAAUGGGAAUAAGUUUCUCGAGGAAUUAUUGCCUAUCGAACUAAAUGGUUUCGACAUCGUCUUGGGAAUGGAUUGGCUUAGCGCCAAUGAUGCCGAAAUUUUGUGCAAGAAGAAGAUAGUUAAAGUAAACCCGCCUGGGAAAGAUUCGUUUAUGGUGUAUGGGGACAAACGCAGAGUGAAUUCUGGAAUCAUUUCUCUAAUGAAAGCCAGAAAGUGUUUGACCAAGGGAUGUACAUCAUAUUUAGCAUUCGUGAUUGAUGCUAAGAAAGAAAAGAAGGUGAUGCAGAGCAUUCCAGUGGUGUGUGAUUAUCCGGAAGUAUUUCCCGAGGAUCUUCCUGGAUUACCACCUGAUAGACAAGUGGAGUUCAGAAUAGACUUGUUACCAGGAACCACGCCAAUAGCAAAAGCACCUUAUCGAUUAGCACCGACGGAGAUGAAGGAGCUGAUGAUGCAACUUCAGGAGUUAUUGGACAAAGGUUUCAUUAGACCUAGUUCAUCGCCCUGGGGAGCUCCGGUGUUAUUUGUAAAGAAGAAAGAUGGAAGUAUGAGAAUGUGCAUCGAUUACAGAGAGCUGAACAAGGCAACAAUAAAGAAUAGAUAUCCGUUGCCGAGGAUUGAUGACCUGUUUGAUCAAUUGCAAGGUUCGAGCUAUUUCUCGAAGAUCGAUCUUAGGUCAGGAUAUCAUCAGCUGAAAGUAAGAGAGCAAGAUAUCGAGAAGACUGCAUUCAGAACUAGAUAUGGACACUACGAGUUCUUGGUUAUGUCGUUUGGACUAACCAAUGCUCCAGCAGCGUUCAUGGAUUUGAUGAAUAGGGUUUGUAAUCCUUUCCUUGAUAAAUCCGUGAUAGUGUUCAUAGACGACAUUCUGAUCUACUCGAAAAGCCAGGAGGAGCAUGGCAGACACUUGCGAGAAGUGUUAGAAGUUUUGAAGAAGGAGAAGCUUUAUGCGAAGUUCUCCAAAUGUGAUUUUUGGAUUCGUGAGGUCCAAUUCUUGGGUCACGUGGUCAACCAAGAAGGGAUAAUGGUUGAUCCAGCGAAGAUCGAAGCUGUGACGAAGUGGGAACAACCGAAAAGUCCCACGGAGAUUCGAAGCUUUUUAGGAUUAGCCGGAUAUUACCGAAGGUUUAUCCAAGGCUUUUCUUCGAUUGCUACUCCAUUAACAGCUUUGACCCACAAAGGAGCUACUUAUGCUUGGAGUGAGAAGCAUAAAGAAGCAUUCGAGAAGUUAAAGAAGAAGCUAUGCGAGGCACCGAUACUUUCUCUACCCGAUGGAGUUGAAGACUUCGCUGUUUAUAGCGAUGCGUCUGGUGUUGGAUUGGGUUGUGUUUUGACCCAAAGAGAAAAGGUGAUAGCAUAUGCGUCUCGACAGCUGAAAGAGCAUGAAAAGAAUUACCCGACUCAUGAUUUGGAGUUGGCAGCGGUAGUUUUCGCUCUGAAAAUAUGGAGGCAUUACCUCUAUGGCACGAAGUGCAAACUUUUCACUGAUCAUAAGAGUCUCCAAUACCUCUUUAAUCAGAAAGAAUUGAAUAUGAGGCAACGACGCUGGCUAGAAUUACUUAAAGACUACGACUGCGAGAUACUUUACCACCCCGGUAAAGCUAAUGUUGUUGCUGAUGCUCUCAGUCGGAAAGUCAAUCUUGAAAGGAAGAGGCCAAGAGCGUUGAGAAUUGAAGUUGUCUCGACUAUUGUGGAAAGUAUAAAGAAAGCUCAAGAGGAAGCUUCUGAGAAAAAUGACCGAAAGGAGGAACGUUUGGGUAAAACGUUGGUGUUUGGUACUAACGGUCAUGGACUGAAGGUAUUCCAAGAUCGUAUUUGGGUACCUAAGUCAGGAGGAAUUAGGGAUCUUCUGAUGGAAGAAGCUCACAAAACCAUGUACUCAAUUCAUCCGGGUAGCACUAAAAUGUAUAGGGACCUGAAACCCUACUACUGGUGGCCGACGAUGAAGCUUGAUGUUGCAAAGUAUGUGGCCGAGUGUGUGACUUGUGCGAGAGUCAAGACACAACAUCAGAAACCUUACGGGAGUUUAGAACCAUUGCCUGUGCCUAUGGGUAAGUGGGAAGACAUUGCUAUGGAUUUUGUCACUAAACUGCCCAGAACAAAGAAUGGUCACGACAUGAUUUGGGUGGUCGUUGAUCGAUUCACUAAGAGUGCGCAUUUCAUAGCGGCCAGGGAGAAAUGGUCUAUGGAAAAGCUUGCGAAUUCUUACGUGAAGGAAAUUGUGAGGCUUCACGGUGUUCCGUUAACGAUUGUAUCGGAUCGUGAUAGCCGUUUCACCUCAAGGUUUUGGAAAAGUCUACAAGAGGAAAUGGGUACCAAGUUAUGUUUAAGCACAGCUUACCAUCCGCAGACUGAUGGUCAGAGUGAAAGAACAAUACAAACACUUGAAGAUAUGCUGAGAGCAUGUACCUUGGAAUUCCUAGGUAAUUGGGAUGAACAUUUACCGUUGGUAGAAUUUUCCUAUAAUAAUAGUUUUCACUCGAGCAUUAAGAUGGCACCUUAUCAAGCUUUGUAUGGACAGAAGUGUCGUACGCCGUCUUGUUGGCUUGAGGCUGGGGAAAAGCAGUUUAUGGGACCGGAGAUGGUUCAUCAAACUGCUGAAAAGUUGAAAAUAAUUAGGGAAAGAAUGUUAGCAGCUCAAGAUCGUCAAAAGAGCUAUGCUGACAAGAAGCGAAGACCGAUGACUUUUGAGGUUGGAGAUUCGGUUUUGCUUAAAGUCUCGCCGUGGAAGGGACUUAUAAGAUUUGGUAAAAGGGGAAAGUUGAGUCCAAGGUUUAUUGGACCGUUUAAAGUCCUUCAGAGGAUUGGGAAUCAAGCUUACAAGCUCGAAUUACCCGAAGAACUGAAUGGAAUUCACAACACCUUUCAUGUGUGUUAUUUGAGGAAGUUCACGGGAGAAGUUCCCGAUAUAAUUCCAAUUUCUGAAUUGAGAAUUGAUGAGAACAAAAGGUUGAUUGAAGAACCAGAGGCAAUUGUUGACCGAAAGACUAAGAAGUUGCGACGCAAAAUGGUUGGGUUAGUGCUUGUCCGAUGGAAACACACGAAUGGGCCGAAUCUCACCUGGGAGACGGAGAGUGACAUGUUGAGUCGCUAUCCGCAUUUGUUUGUUGAUGUGUGAUUCCGGGGACGGAAUCAUUCUAAGGUGGAGAGAAUUGUAACGCCUGUGUUUCCGGGCUUGCCAUUUUUAGCAAUGUAAUAGUCUAGGUUAACCUUUGUAACCCGUUUUGAAAUAAUAAGAUUGUAUUAUUUGAGUAUUAUGUGUUUUGUGCUUAAUUGCUUAAUUAUGUGGUUUGAUUAAUUAAGAAUAAAAAUAAGCGUCAAAAUUUAAGUGUAAAAUAAACUUAAUAUCUUUGGUUAAUGUUGUAGUAGUUGAAACGAGGUUUCCGAAUAUAUAUAGAACGCCCAAAUCUGACUUCGUAUGAGGAAGUUAUGAUUUAUCGAAGUUCCGGCUUAGCGAUAUACAGCCUGUUUUACUCGAUUUGAGAUCGAGCGGUUGUUAGCCGAAGCAAUCUAAAUGAGAAUCGAAGAUCUCAUUGUUGGUAUUGAAACGAUAAAAAGUUAGGCGAGAACGGACGUCAAACGAAGAAGUUAUGAAUUUAUAACGAAAGUUUCUGUCCCGGCCUAUUAAAAAUAAUUAAUAAAAAUAAAGUCAAAAUUAGCCGACGGAGUCUAAACGAAAGUCGUAGAGCGUGGUCUCACCUUCGCGUGGAUAUAAAGAACGUCGAAAACGGAGUUCGUAUGAAGAAGUUAUGAAUUUCCGAAGUUUAUUAAUCAUUUUGUAUUUAUUUUUAAUUCAAAAUUCGGAAGCAUUAUCCGAAGGAGUCACCGAUCUGAUCCGAGGUACGCCCCGCGUACUCGAGUACGCCCCGCGUACUCCGAGGGAUGUCGACACUCGCACUCGAGCACUUCGGAUACGUAAGCAAUGACGUUUUGGGCAGUACGCCCCGCGUAACGCAGUACGCCCCGCGUACUCCGAGGCUCCAGCCUCCUAUAAAUAGGAUGCGAGGGUUCCGGGUAUUUUUGCCAAUUCCCUCUCGUUUUCGUGUCGAAGCUCUGUGCAAAAACCCCCGAAGCUACCCCGAAGUCCCGGUAUCAUACUCUAGCCCCGAGGCAAGUCCCGAGAUCCUGAAGAUCCCGAAAAGUGCGGUUCCCGAGUCGAAGCUCUGCCCGCGAGAAGUUCGAUUUUCGAGAAGAUCUUCCAGAUCUGCUGUGGAUUACUACUUCUAUAAGCCGUAGUGCUGUCCGAUCAUCUUCUGAUCAAGUGAGUGUGUAGUUAUUUCUUCUAAUACAAUAAUACGAAGUAUUUUAUAUAAAAAUACGUGCUAUGUGUAUAUAUUUGGUUGUGUUAUGUGUGAAUGAGUAUUCACUCUCUUCUAUCUUAUAGAUCUGCUUAUUUCUUUAUGAGAUAUGUGUUAUGUGUGUGUGUGCCUCAUCUGUUAUGUGAUAUAUGUGUUGAUUAAAGCAUGCUAUACAGGUUUUCUUUAAACUAUGUAUACAAAUGUAUAUUUUUAUCUACUAAUAUGUUGGGUAGAACAUGGGUAGACAGUUGGUGUGUAAUAAACAGAUGAGAGGCCUCGUUGUUGUUUGAUUGAGUCAUCUAGCGGAGUUUAGAUGACGACCACUGGCUAUUCUAGACAGUCUUGUGGAAACAUUAGCAGGUUCGCCACCUGUAGGUGUUAAUGAACUUGGGUGUUCAUUCGCUGUACUCCAUCCCCCUCAUGGUUACCUUAUUUGACUUAUAUUGCUGAGGUACCCCCGAAGCAUGUGUUGUCGCCCCGAUGAAAUAUUCUUAGACUAGGUCCCUUAUGUUAGUUGUUUUAGGGACAUUAAAGUGAGAAUAACGGGAAUGGG
This 7345-nucleotide long non-coding RNA is filed under the name Lactuca sativa (garden lettuce). RNAcentral describes it as "long non-coding RNA (LSAT_LNC004957)". Lineage: Eukaryota; Viridiplantae; Streptophyta; Magnoliopsida; Asterales; Asteraceae. The record is from RNAcentral.